GAGUGUAUAGCUCAGUGGUAAAGUGCGUGCUUAGCAUGCAUGAGGUCCUGGGUUCAAUCCCCAGGACCUCCA
RNAcentral lists this transfer RNA (72 nucleotides) under Camelus dromedarius (Arabian camel). It matches the Rfam family "tRNA". From Rfam's summary of the family: Transfer RNA (tRNA) molecules are approximately 80 nucleotides in length. Their secondary structure includes four short double-helical elements and three loops (D, anti-codon, and T loops). RNAcentral also lists the same sequence under 1 other name. The record is from Rfam by way of RNAcentral. Lineage: Eukaryota; Metazoa; Chordata; Mammalia; Artiodactyla; Camelidae.